CUUGGUCAUUUAGAGGAAGUAAAAGUCGUAACAAGGUUUCCGUAGGUGAACCUGCGGAAGGAUCAUUAACGAGAUCAUGCCCCCCGGGGUAGACCUCCCACCCCCUGUCUACAAUACCCUUGUUGCUUUGGCGGCCCCGUCGCAGGACAACCGGCCCCGGCUGGUCAGCGGCCGCCAGAGGACUCGAAACUCAUAUCAUCUCUGUCGUCUGAGUACUAUAUAAUAGUUAAAACUUUCAACAACGGAUCUCUUGGUUCUGGCAUCGAUGAAGAACGCAGCGAAAUGCGAUAAGUAAUGUGAAUUGCAGAAUUCAGUGAAUCAUCGAAUCUUUGAACGCACAUUGCGCCCCCUGGUAUUCCGGGGGGCAUGCCUGUUCGAGCGUCAUUACAACCCUCAAGCUCUGCUUGGUAUUGGGCGUCACCCCCGGGUGCGCCUCAAAAUCAGUGGCGGUGCCGUCUGGCUUCAAGCGUAGUAAUACUUCUCGCUUUGGAGUCCGGGCGAGCGUCCUGCCAGAACCCCCAUAUUUUUCAGGUUGACCUCGGAUCAGGUAGGGAUACCCGCUGAACUUAAGCAUAUCAAUAAGCGGAGGA
This 590-nucleotide ribosomal RNA is filed under the name uncultured Leotiomycetes. RNAcentral's name for it is "eukaryotic LSU rRNA". The stretch from base 231 to 384 matches the Rfam family "5.8S ribosomal RNA". The record is from RNAcentral. Lineage: Eukaryota; Fungi; Ascomycota; Leotiomycetes.